RNAcentral lists this long non-coding RNA (376 nucleotides) under Coturnix japonica (Japanese quail). Its description in RNAcentral is "lncRNA (ENSCJPG00005017156.1)". The record is from RNAcentral. Lineage: Eukaryota; Metazoa; Chordata; Aves; Galliformes; Phasianidae.
ACGGAAUGGAACACUCAUGUCACAUUUCUCAUCCAGUCAGAAAAGCUGUUUCUCUCACAUGUUUACUAUUUGAGUCUUCAAGUGGAGAAUCUAUUAGGAAGGUGAUGGGCAAGGAGAAAGAAGAAUGUUUUUAUUCUUGUGAAAGCUCUCUAUAUUACAGAGAACUGUUCAUUGUCACCUUGGAGCUGGGAGGUAGCUGUCUGGCAGAGUACUUGGGUGCAGAUGCAAUGAGUUUCCCCAAGAGGAGAAAAAUAUCUUGUCGUUGAAUAUGUGAUGGGUGGAGACAUGCAAAUCCUGCCUGUUGGACGUGCACCUCUGUACAGUUCAUGAUGUGUCUGACAGCCAGAGCUGCACCAAUCCAAUCACACUGUGAGCC